RNAcentral lists this small RNA (123 nucleotides) under Marmota monax (woodchuck). The record is from RNAcentral. Lineage: Eukaryota; Metazoa; Chordata; Mammalia; Rodentia; Sciuridae.
GCUGGGAGCGGUGACACACGCCUAUAAUCCCAGCAUCUUGGGAGGCUGAGGCAGGAGGAUCACAAGUUCAAAGCCAGCCUCAGCAACUUAGGCCCUAAGCAACUCAGUGAGACCCUGUCUCUA